GACGAACGCUGGCGGCGUGCUUAACACAUGCAAGUCGAACGGAAAGGCCCUGCUUUUGUGGGGUGCUCGAGUGGCGAACGGGGGAGUAACACGUGAGUAACCUGCCCUUGACUUUGGGAUAACUUCAGGAAACUGGGGCUAAUACCGGAUAGGAGCUCCUGCUGCACGGUGGGGGUUGGAAAGUUUCGGCGGUUGGGGAUGGACUCGCGGCUCAUCAGCUUGUUGGGGGGGUAGUGGCUUACCAAGGCUUUGACGGGUAGCCGGCCUGAGAGGGUGGCCGGCCACAUUGGGACUGAGGUACGGCCCAGACUCCUACGGGAGGCAGCAGUGGGGAAUAUUGCGCAGUGGGCGGGCGCCUGAUGCGGCAGCGCCGCGUGCGGGAUGACGGCCUUCGGGUUGUAAACCGCUUUCGCCUGUGACGAAGCGUGAGUGACGGUAAUGGGUAAAGAAGCACCGGCUAACUACGUG
RNAcentral lists this ribosomal RNA (468 nucleotides) under uncultured bacterium. RNAcentral describes it as "partial 16S ribosomal RNA". It matches the Rfam family "Bacterial small subunit ribosomal RNA", at positions 28 to 507 of the family's 1533-position model. The record is from RNAcentral.